Molecule: ribosomal RNA, 497 nt
Filed under: uncultured bacterium
Lineage: Bacteria
Description: partial 16S ribosomal RNA
Rfam family: Bacterial small subunit ribosomal RNA
Source: RNAcentral
ACUCAAAUGAAUUGACGGGGGCCCGCACAAGCGGCGGAGCAUGUGGCUUAAUUCGAUGCAACGCGAAGAACCUUACCUGGGCUUGACAUGCUGGUUAAACCCUGUGAAAGCAGGGCUCCGUAAGGGGCCAGCACAGGUGCUGCAUGGCUGUCGUCAGCUCGUGCCGUGAGGUGUUGGCUUAAGUGCCGCAACGAGCGCAACCCCUGCCUUUAGUUGCCAGCGGGUAAUGCCGGGGACUCUAAAGGGACUGCCGGGGACAACUCGGAGGAAGGUGGGGAUGACGUCAAGUCCGCAUGGCCCUUAUGUCCAGGGCUGCACACAUGCUACAUUGCGCGCCACAGAGGGCUGCGAUCCCGCGAGGGGGAGCGAAUCCCAAAAAAGCGCGCGUGGUUCGGAUUGGAGUCUGCAACUCGACUCCAUGAAGUCGGAGUCGCUAGUAAUCGCAGAUCAGCAACGCUGCGGUGAAUACGUUCCCGGGCCUUGUACACACCGCCCGU